This 493-nucleotide ribosomal RNA is filed under the name uncultured bacterium. RNAcentral describes it as "partial 16S ribosomal RNA". It matches the Rfam family "Bacterial small subunit ribosomal RNA", at positions 29 to 507 of the family's 1533-position model. The record is from RNAcentral.
ACGAACACUGGCGGCGUGCUUAACACAUGCAAGUCGAACGGAAAGGCCUGCUUUCCCUUGUGGAUUGCGGGUACUCGAGUGGCGAACGGGUGAGUAACACGUGAGUGAUCUGCCCCCAACUUGGGUAUAAGCCUGGGAAACUGGGUCUAAUUCCCGAUAGGACUGCAGGGUGGUGCCUGUGGUGGAAAACGAUUUUCUAGUGGUUGGGGAUGAGCUCGCGGCCUAUCAGCUUGUUGGUGGGGUAAUGGCCUACCAAGGCGGCGACGGGUAGCCGGCCUGAGAGGGUGGACGGCCACAUUGGGACUGAGAUACGGCCCAGACUCCGACGGGAGGCAGCAGUGGGGAAUAUUGCACAAUGGGCGGAAGCCUGAUGCAGCGACGCCGCGUGGGGGAUGACGGCCUUCGGGUUGUAAACUCCUUUCGACCGCGAGGAAGCCACCUGGUUGGAAGGGUGGUGACGGUAGUGGUAGAAGAAGCACCGGCUAACUACGUG